UACGUAGGGGGCAAGCGUUGUCCGGAUUUAUUGGGCGUAAAGAGCGUGUAGGCGGCCAGGUAGGUCUGCUGUGAAAACUCGAGGCUUAACCUCGAGCUGUCGGUGGAAACUGUCUGGCUAGAGUCCGGAAGAGGAGAAUGGAAUUCCUGGUGUAGCGGUGAAAUGCGCAGAUAUCAGGAAGAACACCCGUGGCGAAGGCGGUUCUCUGGGACGGUACUGACGCUGAGACGCGAAAGCGUGGGGAGCGAACAGG
Molecule: ribosomal RNA, 253 nt
Filed under: uncultured bacterium
Lineage: Bacteria
Description: partial 16S ribosomal RNA
Rfam family: Bacterial small subunit ribosomal RNA
Source: RNAcentral